RNAcentral lists this ribosomal RNA (253 nucleotides) under uncultured bacterium. RNAcentral's name for it is "partial 16S ribosomal RNA". It matches the Rfam family "Bacterial small subunit ribosomal RNA", at positions 524 to 776 of the family's 1533-position model. The record is from RNAcentral.
UACGUAGGAGGCAAGCGUUGUCCGGAAUUACUGGGCGUAAAGGGCUUGUAGGUGGCCAACUAAGUCAGACGUGAAAUCCCUCAGCUUAACUGGGGAACUGCUUCUGAUACUGGAUGGCUUGAGUUUGGGAGAGGGAUGCGGAAUUCCAGGUGUAGCGGUGAAAUGCGUAGAUAUCUGGAGGAACACCGGUGGCGAAGGCGGCAUCCUGGACCAACACUGACACUGAAAAGCGAAAGCCAGGGGAGCAAACGGG